This 21-nucleotide non-coding RNA is filed under the name Arabidopsis thaliana (thale cress). The record is from RNAcentral. Lineage: Eukaryota; Viridiplantae; Streptophyta; Magnoliopsida; Brassicales; Brassicaceae.
CCAACUCGAGUGUCAGAUGAC